This is a long non-coding RNA of Nannospalax galili (Upper Galilee mountains blind mole rat), 245 nucleotides long. RefSeq lists it as uncharacterized. The record is from RefSeq and is a predicted model, not a curated record. The transcript is spliced from 3 exons. NCBI's taxonomy places the organism in Eukaryota, Metazoa, Chordata, Mammalia, Rodentia, Spalacidae.
GGGCUUCGGAAGAGGAUGAACCGAGCCCAGCACAGAAUCCCUGACAGACGCUUAAAUGCUGGCAAGCUGAGGUGGGCUGCCGGAUUCCACCAUGCUACAUGUGGCCGUGUUCAUCUCACUACUCCAGGAAUUCAAAGAGGAGAUCAUGAAAGGAGACCACACCUACCGGGACUGAUCAUUUAGUCAUACCUCUAACUUCCUUGCCCCAGUUCUUCCUCUAUUCAAACCAAAAGAUCAUGUUGAAU